UACGGGGGGGGCAAGCGUUGUUCGGAAUUACUGGGCAUAAAGGGUGCGUAGGCGGCUUGUUAAGUCAGGGGUGAAAGUUUUCGGCCCAACCGGAAAAUUGCCUUUGAUACUGGCGAGCUCGAGUGCGUGAGGGGUAACCGGAACGAGUGGUGUAGCGGUGAAAUGCGUAGAUAUCACUCGGAAGGCCAAAGGCGAAGGCAGGUUACUGGUACGCAACUGACGCUGAGGCACGAAAGCGUGGGGAGCAAACAGG
This 253-nucleotide ribosomal RNA is filed under the name uncultured bacterium. Its description in RNAcentral is "partial 16S ribosomal RNA". It matches the Rfam family "Bacterial small subunit ribosomal RNA", at positions 524 to 776 of the family's 1533-position model. The record is from RNAcentral.